CUUACGCCCCCGGGCCCGCGCCCGCCGAAGACACCCUCGAACUCUGUCUGAAGAUUGUAGUCUGAGUGAAAAUAUAAAUUAUUUAAAACUUUCAACAACGGAUCUCUUGGUUCCGGCAUCGAUGAAGAACGCAGCGAAAUGCGAUACGUAAUGUGAAUUGCAAAUUCAGUGAAUCAUCGAGUCUUUGAACGCACAUUGCGCCCCCUGGUAUUCCGGGGGGCAUGCCUGUCCGAGCGUCAUUGCUGCCCUCAAGCACGGCUUGUGUGUUGGGCCCCGUCCUCCGAUUCCGGGGGACGGGCCCGAAAGGCAGCGGCGGCACCGCGUCCGGUCCUCGAGCGUAUGGGGCUUUGUCACCCGCUCUGUAGGCCCGGCCGGCGCUUGCCGAUCAACCCAAAUUUUUAUCCAGGUUGACCUCGGAUCAGGUAGGGAUACCCGCUGAACUUAAGCAUAUCAAUAAGCGGAGG
RNAcentral lists this ribosomal RNA (464 nucleotides) under Penicillium griseofulvum. RNAcentral describes it as "eukaryotic LSU rRNA". The stretch from base 87 to 239 matches the Rfam family "5.8S ribosomal RNA". The record is from RNAcentral. Lineage: Eukaryota; Fungi; Ascomycota; Eurotiomycetes; Eurotiales; Aspergillaceae.